CAGAUGAUGUGGUUUCGUCCGUCGCUGUCAGGUUCUCACAGCAGUUGUUGUUCAGGGAGGAAACAUUGUGUGUCUGGGACAGGAGGCUGGAAAUUAACUUUUGGAGCAGGAAUCAAACUUACUGUUGAAGCCAGUGAAUCGUCUGAGCCGUCCUACUACAGGCUGAGUGGACAAGAUGAAAAAGGGAAAAACAUCUCGGCCUGCCUGGCCAGCGACUUCAGCGACUUCAACACCACUAGAGACAGUGUGCUGUUCAAUGGGACGGAGGCGACCCGGAUGGAGGGAGACCGUUUCUACAGCCAGGUGGCGCUGUACAAGCCAGAGGACGGGCAGGAUUGCCCGGAAACAUCUGGACCCGGCUGUGGCGGUGGACUCUUCAGCCCAGACGUGGGGGUGAACACCGUGUCCUUCAUCGUGCUCGGCCUCAGGCUCCUCCUCCUGAAGACCAUCGUCUUCAACGUCCUGAUGACCCUGCGGCUUUGGAUCAGUUAGAACGCAGCAGGACGCCGCAGCGUCGGGACGUCGGGACGUCCUGCAGCCUGUCGGACGCUCCCCGUGUGCCAGAGCCCGGCUCGGGCUUUAAAUCAUGAAUGAGUUUUCUAUUUGUUCUUUGUUUUUUUUUGAUCAUUUUAUCAUUUUAUCAUUGGAUCAUUUCCACUGCAGUGUCUCUGUCCUGUAAAUAUCCCGGCUCCAUGUCCCCGUCCCGUCCCUCAUGUGUCUCUC
This 723-nucleotide long non-coding RNA is filed under the name Myripristis murdjan (pinecone soldierfish). RNAcentral's name for it is "lncRNA (ENSMMDG00005019950.1)". Lineage: Eukaryota; Metazoa; Chordata; Actinopteri; Holocentriformes; Holocentridae. The record is from RNAcentral.